AGUGAACGCUGGCGGUAGGCCUAACACAUGCAAGUCGAACGGCAGCACAGUAAGAGCUUGCUCUUACGGGUGGCGAGUGGCGGACGGGUGAGGAAUACAUCGGAAUCUACUUUUUCGUGGGGGAUAACGUAGGGAAACUUACGCUAAUACCGCAUACGACCUACUGGUGAAAGCAGGGGAUCUUCGGACCUUGCGCGAUUGAAUGAGCCGACGUCGGAUUAGCUAGUUGGCGGGGUAAAGGCCCACCAAGGCGACGAUCCGUAGCUGGUCUGAGAGGAUGAUCAGCCACACUGGAACUGAGACACGGUCCAGACUCCUACGGGAGGCAGCAGUGGGGAAUAUUGGACAAUGGGCGCAAGCCUGAUCCAGCCAUACCGCGUGGGUGAAGAAGGCCUUCGGGUUGUAAAGCCCUUUUGUUGGGAAAGAAAAGCAGCAGGUUAAUACCCCGCUGUUCUGACGGUACCCAAAGAAUAAGCACCGGCUAACUUCGUG
This 492-nucleotide ribosomal RNA is filed under the name uncultured bacterium. RNAcentral's name for it is "partial 16S ribosomal RNA". It matches the Rfam family "Bacterial small subunit ribosomal RNA", at positions 29 to 507 of the family's 1533-position model. The record is from RNAcentral.